ACAGCCCUCAGUCUAUUAAUUCGUGCUGAACUUAGCCAACCAGGGGCACUACUAGGUGAUGAUCAAAUCUAUAACGUUAUUGUCACUGCCCACGCCUUUGUUAUAAUCUUUUUCAUAGUAAUACCAGUUAUAAUUGGCGGCUUUGGAAACUGACUAGUCCCAUUAAUAAUUGGGGCCCCAGAUAUAGCUUUUCCACGCAUAAAUAACAUAAGCUUCUGACUACUUCCACCAUCACUACUACUACUACUCGCCUCAUCUGGGGUAGAAGCCGGCGCAGGGACAGGUUGAACAGUAUACCCGCCCCUAGCUGCUAAUCUGGCCCAUGCUGGCGCAUCAGUAGAUCUAGUAAUUUUCUCACUUCACCUGGCCGGAAUUUCCUCAAUUUUAGGGGCAAUCAACUUUAUCACUACCUGUAUUAACAUAAAAUCCCCAUCUCUAUCACAGUAUCAUACCCCCCUCUUUGUAUGAUCAGUAAUAAUUACUGCAGUACUACUUUUGCUUGCUCUACCAGUUCUUGCCGCUGGAAUCACAAUACUCCUAACUGACCGAAACCUUAAU
This 558-nucleotide ribosomal RNA is filed under the name Ebenavia cf. inunguis. Its description in RNAcentral is "partial 12S ribosomal RNA". The record is from RNAcentral. Lineage: Eukaryota; Metazoa; Chordata; Lepidosauria; Squamata; Gekkonidae.